This 497-nucleotide ribosomal RNA is filed under the name uncultured bacterium. RNAcentral's name for it is "partial 16S ribosomal RNA". It matches the Rfam family "Bacterial small subunit ribosomal RNA", at positions 28 to 507 of the family's 1533-position model. The record is from RNAcentral.
GACGAACGCUGGCGGCGUGCCUAAUGCAUGCAAGUAGAACGCUGAAGCUUGGUGCUUGCACCGAGCGGAUGAGUUGCGAACGGGUGAGUAACGCGUAGGUAACCUGCCUGGUAGCGGGGGAUAACUAUUGGAAACGAUAGCUAAUACCGCAUAAGAGUAGAUGUUGCAUGACAUUUGCUUAAAAGGUGCAAUUGCAUCACUACCAGAUGGACCUGCGUUGUAUUAGCUAGUUGGUGAGGUAACGGCUCACCAAGGCAACGAUACAUAGCCGACCUGAGAGGGUGAUCGGCCACACUGGGACUGAGACACGGCCCAGACUCCUACGGGAGGCAGCAGUAGGGAAUCUUCGGCAAUGGACGGAAGUCUGACCGAGCAACGCCGCGUGAGUGAAGAAGGUUUUCGGAUCGUAAAGCUCUGUUGUAAGAGAAGAACGAGUGUGAGAGUGGAAAGUUCACACUGUGACGGUAUCUUACCAGAAAGGGACGGCUAACUACGUG